UUUGAAAUCCUUCUCUUUAUCGGGUACCCUUGAAGUGUGGUACUUGACUGAUAGCAAUAGGCUUUCGUUUUCGGAACCUGUUCAUCACAUUUGGCCAAUAGAUAAUACGGGGUUUCCAUACCGGCCUUUCGACCUCAGGUAUUAGCCGUAUUUCAUUUCUUUAAUUGUGGGUUUUCCAUACUGGUCUUUCGACCUCAGGUAUUUGCCACCAUGUGUUGGGUCCGCCGGUCCCUCCCGCGUCCCUUGCCUACCCGACCAUCAAUCAAGUACCAUACUCCCAUUUUCAAAACAUCUUCUUUCAUAUCGCUAUGACUCAUCAAUCAUUCAAACAUCAUGAAGAACACGUAGCAAAAGUCACAUUAAAGAACACAUAAUUAGGUUCUUAUGAUGAGCAAAUGAAAGCUUCAACUUACCUCAAAAUCAAUAUGGUUUGUGAAGUAAAAGGAUCAGUCUUAGAUAAGGUGUGCUAAAAGCCUUGAUUACAGAUGAAUUCAAACUUCAAAACAUAGGAUUUUCAGCUAGAAAAGGUGAAGAACUUGUUCUAGCUAUACUUUUAUGAGUUCUUAGGGUUUGAUAUUCUCUUAUGUGAAUAUGGAAGUGAAGAAAUAAGAAGAGAAGCUUAAGUGAAUAGGUCUGGUCGUUUUGGAAGAAGACAAAUGAAAAUGAAGACCAAAACACAAAGUCUUCACUUAUCUACCCAUUCCCAACAAGGCCAAAUGGAGGGUGGUGAUUGGAAGGCUUGUAUUUGUUGGAUUCUUGUGGUUCCUCCACAUUUUUCUAGCUUGAGAUAAGAUAUGGGCUGAUGCUUACUCAUUAUAAUCAAGUGUAAACAAUUUGAGAAUGGUCUUGUGCAACCUAGUCAACCAACCAAUCAAAUUGCACCCUUUUGCAUACUUUGGUUUUAGUCUAAUAUGAGUUACUUCAAGUAAUUACAUAUGUAAUUAAUCAUAUAAAAAUGUAAUUAAAAUGCAGAACUGCAAUUAAGACAAAUAUAUCAGCGUUUAGCACAUUUUAAGAAAAGUAUUCGAUCACGUAUUAAAAACACAAUUAAGGUACAUGUGUAGCAAGUAGUCGUGAUCAUGCAUCAUGAAUAAUGAAUUAUAACUAUAUGCAUUGAUGCAAUAUGCUUAUUAUUGGCCAUGUACGGAUUAUUGGGCAUUACAAUCCUUCCCUCCUUAUAAAAUUUCGCCCUCAAAAUUUGACGUACCGAACAAUUCUGGAUAUUUGCUAUGCAUUUCUUCCUCUCUUUCCCACGUGGAUUCUUCAAUAGAUUGAUUUCUCCACAAUACCUUAACUAAUGGAAUCUUUUUAUUUCUCAGCUCCUUGACUUUUCGAUCAAUAAUUUGAAUUGGUUUCUCCUCAUAAGACAAAUCUGCAGAAAACUCUAACGGUUCAUAACUCAACACAUGAGAGGGAUUUGAAAUGUACUUCUUCAACAUAGACACAUGGAAAACAUUGUGAACACCAGAUAAUGAAGGAGGUAAGGCUACUCUAUAUGCUCUAUCACCAACUCUUUCAAGGAUUUCAAACGGACCAACAUAUCUUGGACUAAGUUUUCCUUUCUUUCCAAAUCUCAUGAUGCCUUUCAAUGGAGCCACUUUCAAAAAUACAUGGUCGCCAACUGUAAACUCUAGAUCUCUUCUUCGUUUAUCUGCAUAGCUUUUCUGUCUACUCUGUGCCAUCUUCAUUCUUUCCCUUAUCUUCUGUACCGUCUCAGCUGUAUGUUGCACCAUCUCUGGCCCAAGUAGACUUCUUUCGCCAACUUCAUCCCAAUGAACUGGAGAUCUACAUUUUCUCCCAUAUAGUGCUUCAUAAGGUGCCAUUCCAAUUGUAGAUUGAUAACUGUUAUUGUAAGUGAACUCUACCAAUGGAAGUUUUUCAUCCCAGCUCCCUUUCAAAUCUAGAACACAAGCUCUUAACAUAUCCUCAAGUAUUUGAAUAACUCUCUCGGAUUGUCCAUUAGUCUGUGGAUGAAAUGUUGUACUAAAUGCAAGCUUUGUCCCCAUAGCAUUGUGCAAACUCUUCCAAAAUGCAGAAGUAAACUUCGGAUCUCUAUCAGACACUAUUGACACUGGCACUCCAUGCAAUAACUACCUCUUUAAUAUAUUGUUGUGCAUAUUGCUCCAUGUUGAAUGUGGACUUCACUUAAAGAAAAUGGGUUGAUUUAGUUAGUCUAUCAACAAUCACCCAUAUGGAAUUGUUUCCCCUUUGUGUUCUAGGCAAUCCAAGCACAAAAUCCAUUGUAAUAUGCUCCCAUUUCCACUCUGGAAUCAGUAAAGGUUUCAAUAGUCCUGCUGGUCUUUGAUGUUCCAUUUUAACUUGUUGACAAGUGAGGCAUUCAGCCACAAACUUUGCUAUAUCUUUCUUCAUGUUAGGCCACCAGUAGUGUAGUUGUAAGUCUUUGUACAUUUUUGUGCUGCCCGGGUGCACUGAGUAAGGACUUCUGUGAGCUUCUUCCAAAAUGUCGCCCUUUAUGUUAGCAUCAAAAGGAACACACAAUCUGCCUUUAUAUCUAAUUAUUUCAUCGUUACCAAUAGAGAAGUUCGGCCUCUUCUUAGCAUCAAUCAUACUUCGCAACCUGGACAAAUACUUAUCCACUUUCUGGGCCUCUUUGAUUCGGUCAUGCAAUACGGGUUUUAAUACUAAAGAUGAUAAAGAACUAACCGUCCCUUUAGGUACAAUUUCAAGCUCUAACCUUUGUAAAUCCAGUAGUAUUGGUUUCUGUAUAACAAGGAAGGAAGACAUAGAUUUUCUACUCAAUGCAUCUGCAGCCACAUUAGCUUUACCAGGAUGAUAGUUAAUCAAACAGUCAUAAUCCUUCACAAGUUCUAACCAUCUUCGCUGUCUCAUAUUCAAUUCUUUCUGAGUGAAGAAGUACUUCAAGCUCUUGUGAUCCGUGUAAAUCUCACAUUUCUCACCAUAUAGGUAAUGCCUCCAAAUUUUCAAGGCAAACACAACGGCAGCAAGCUCUAAAUCAUGAGUUGGUUAAUUCUUCUCAUACUCCUUCAAUUGUCUUGAAGCAUAGGAGAUAACAUUCCCAUGCUGCAUCAAUACAGCACCCAAUCCAUUUUUUGAAGCAUCACUAUACACUACGAAUCCACCAGUUCCAGAAGGAAUGACGAGAACAGGAGCUGUAGUACAUCUCCGUUUCAACUCUUGAAAGCUACUUUCACAUGCAUCAGUCCAUACAUACUUCACGUUCUUUCGCGUAAGCAUUGUUAAUGGAGUUGCUAUCUUGGAAAACCCCUGAACAAAUCUUCGAUAAUAUGCUGCCAAUCCUAAGAAACUUCUAACCUCUGAUACAGUUGUUGGUGUUGGCCAAUUUUUGACAGCUUCUAUCUUACUCGGGUCGACAGAAAUACCAUUCUUGGACACGACAUGCCCUAGGAAUACAACUUGAUCAAGCCAAAACUCGCACUUCUUAAAUUUAGCAUAUAGUUGCCUUUCUUUCAAUAUUUGCAACACCACUCUCAAAUGUUCUCUAUGUUCGUCUUUAUCAUGGGAAUAGAUCAAUAUAUCAUCAAUGAACACAAUCACAAAUUUGUCGAGGAACUCCUUGAACACCCUAUUCAUCAAAUCCAUAAAAGAUGCGGGGGCAUUUUGUAACGCCCCACAACCUAACAGCAGAAUCCAAUCGGAUCACCACCAUUAAGUUAGGGAUGCUAACCUUUUACAUAUUUACUUGAACAUUAUGGUUUUAAUACAAAAAUAAAUAAUAUGCUUUGAAAAGAAAUCAAACUCUGUACUUUCUCGAAAUCUGUACAUAUAUAGAUAUAUAUUGUUUACAAAAUUACUUUGUACAACAACCAUAAUAGAGCGGCUAACAAAAUCAAAUCAGAGUUUCUAGCUCGGCUACAAAAAUGGCGCGAAGCAUGGCAUAUGAACAAAACUCUGUCUGGCCGCUCUUGGCUAGGUCAACUUCUAAACAUGUACAUCAUUACCUGCAUCAUAAGGACCUAAUGAGCUAAAAGCUCAGCAAGUUGUAACUGAUGUAAUAACAAUCUAUCACAUAACACGUUAUUCAUUCAAUAUGUACAAUAUCACAUAUAACUUCAUUCGUGAUCCUUUUCUUUGAAAUCCUUCUCUUUAUCGGGUACCCUUGAAGUGUGGUACUUGACUGAUAGCAAUAGCCUUUCGUUUUCGGAACCUGUUUAUCAUAUUUGGCCAAUAGAUAAUACGGGGGUUUCCAUACCAGCCUUUCGACCUCAGGUAUUAGCCGUAUUUCAUUUCUUUAAUUGUGGGUUUUCCAUACUGGUCUUUCGACCUCAGGUAUUUGCCACCAUGUGUUGGGUCCGCCGGUUCCUCCCGCGUCCCUUGCCUACUCGACCAUCAAUCAAGUACCAUACUCCCAAUUUCAAAACAUAUUCUUUCAUAUCACUAUGACCCAUCA
This 4390-nucleotide long non-coding RNA is filed under the name Erythranthe guttata (spotted monkey flower). RNAcentral's name for it is "long non-coding RNA (EGUT_LNC003477)". Lineage: Eukaryota; Viridiplantae; Streptophyta; Magnoliopsida; Lamiales; Phrymaceae. The record is from RNAcentral.